Non-coding RNA from Populus trichocarpa (black cottonwood), 195 nucleotides. NCBI's taxonomy places the organism in Eukaryota, Viridiplantae, Streptophyta, Magnoliopsida, Malpighiales, Salicaceae. The record is from Rfam.
AUACCUUUCUCGGCCUUUUGGCUAAGAUCAAGUGUAGUAUCUGUUCUUAUCAGUUUAAUAUCUGAUACGUGGGCCAAUGGCUCACACGAUAUUAAAUUUAUUUUUUUAGGGGAGGGUCCAUCACAGUAGCUUGCUGCUGGGGCUCUCGAUCGUCGCCUUUGCGUUGCACUAUAACAUUGGCCUGGCGCACCCCAC